RNAcentral lists this long non-coding RNA (623 nucleotides) under Junco hyemalis (dark-eyed junco). RNAcentral describes it as "lncRNA (ENSJHYG00000009174.1)". The record is from RNAcentral. Lineage: Eukaryota; Metazoa; Chordata; Aves; Passeriformes; Passerellidae.
CGAGGAUGCUGCCCGCCCCUUGCCCGGGCCGGGCUGGAUGGAUGCCUCGGAGCUGCCUCCUCUGCUGCAGCUCCCUGCUCCUCAACAAUCCCCUCGUUUUGUUUUUGCUGUCUGAGUUACCUCCAGAGCAAACAGGAGUUUUCCCGUGUUUGGGGUUCAUCCACAAACCCCUCUGCAGCUUUAGCUGCAGAGUUGGCAAGCAGAGCAUGCUCUGCAUGAGGGCAGAGGAGGCUGAUGCCAGCCUCGGUGCCAGCUCCUCUCACCACAGCCCCUCGGGUGCCAUCUGAGCUAUUUUUCCAGCCAGAGCCAGACUACUUCAUCAUGUCCUCGUAUUGAUGUCACUUGAAAAUCUGAUUGUCAACAUCAUGAAAACAGUGCUAGGAAAAGCCACAAAAUAUUGCACAAGACCCAGAAGGACUGAAAGUUGGAGGAUUUCUUUCAGGGGAUAUAUUGUUUUCACUGGUUUAUCAGACAGACCAUCACUUCCUGCAUCCCAGGGUUAUAAGGACAAGUUCAACUUGCAUCAUCCUUCUCCAUUUCCUCAGCUGGCAUUCAACUUCCAGUUGGAUGCAUCAUCUCCUGCAGCCUCACCCUGUGAGCAGUGUGGAAAGAUUCCAUUCCUG